Mercurialis annua (annual mercury) is the source of this 308-nucleotide long non-coding RNA. RefSeq lists it as uncharacterized. The record is from RefSeq and is a predicted model, not a curated record. Lineage: Eukaryota; Viridiplantae; Streptophyta; Magnoliopsida; Malpighiales; Euphorbiaceae. The transcript has 3 exons.
UUCUUCCUCCGGUCCGACUCGUGAGCAUGCUCUUCUUACUUUUACCCAUGGUGUCAAGUAAAUGAUCUGUUGCUGUAAUAAGAUCACAUCAGUAUUGAGUGGGAGCUAUCGUAUGCAAGGACCAUCAGUAGUUGUAGAAGAUACUGAACAAGAUAUUUACAAUUGUUCUUUAUCUUUUUCAUCAACAUUAUUCUUUGACCAGGAAAUACUCACAAGUUAGGAAAUGGACACUUGGUUUAACUGGUGGCAAAGACUGAAUAGCAAUGAUUAUAGCCUCGGGGAGCAUUAGUCGUGUGCGGAGUCCAACA